This 466-nucleotide ribosomal RNA is filed under the name uncultured bacterium. RNAcentral's name for it is "partial 16S ribosomal RNA". It matches the Rfam family "Bacterial small subunit ribosomal RNA", at positions 28 to 507 of the family's 1533-position model. The record is from RNAcentral.
GACGAACGCUGGCGGUGUGCUUAACACAUGCAAGUCGAACGGUAAGGCCCUUUCGGGGGUACACGAGUGGCGGACGGGUGAGUAACACGUGAGUAACCUGCCCUCAUCUCUGGGAUAACAGUCGGAAACGGUUGCUAAUACUGGAUAUGAGCUUGCAAGGCAUCUUGUGGGUUGGAAAGAUUUUUUUGGUUGGGGAUGGACUCGCGGCCUAUCAGCUUGUUGGUGAGGUAGUGGCUCACCAAGGCUUCGACGGGUAGCCGGCCUGAGAGGGCGACCGGCCACAUUGGGACUGAGAUACGGCCCAAACUCCUACGGGAGGCAGCAGUGGGGAAUAUUGCACAAUGGACGGAAGUCUGAUGCAGCAACGCCGCGGGCGGGAGGACGGCCUUCGGGUUGUAAACCGCUUUCAAUUGUGACGAAGCUUUUUGUGACGGUAGCAGUAGAAGAAGCACCGGCUAACUACGUG